GGGCAUUCAGAAGGCUUGCUGUCUGGGCUACUCACAGAGAACGUCGUUUCUCCUCACCCGCCCAGGGGAAAGUCCCCGGACCCGUGGCAGAAAGUGCUCUGGGUUAAUCCAGCGUCGGUCUGCGUGCCCAUCAGAGCAAAGACGUUCGUCUCGAACAGAGCUUGAAAACUCAGAUCGACAUUGUCACUGUUCAUAGAAAUGCAAGCGAUGAACAGAACGGGGCUCAUUCUCUGAAUGCA
RNAcentral lists this RNase MRP RNA (239 nucleotides) under Nothobranchius furzeri (turquoise killifish). Its description in RNAcentral is "RNase MRP (ENSNFUG00015024424.1)". It matches the Rfam family "RNase MRP". From Rfam's summary of the family: RNase MRP is an enzymatically active ribonucleoprotein with two distinct roles in eukaryotes. In mitochondria it plays a direct role in the initiation of mitochondrial DNA replication. Lineage: Eukaryota; Metazoa; Chordata; Actinopteri; Cyprinodontiformes; Nothobranchiidae. The record is from Rfam by way of RNAcentral.